Molecule: ribosomal RNA, 481 nt
Filed under: uncultured bacterium
Lineage: Bacteria
Description: partial 16S ribosomal RNA
Rfam family: Bacterial small subunit ribosomal RNA
Source: RNAcentral
GACGAACGUUGGCGGCGUGCUUAAUACAUGCAAGUCAACUGAAGCAGUGGUAGCAAUAUCGCUGUGGAGGUGGCGCACGGGUGAGUAACACGUAGGUAAUCUGCCUUCAGGUCUGGCAUAACUCCGGGAAACCGGGGCUAAUAGCAGAUGAUGCAGCGGCUCGACAUCGAGACAGUUGUUAAAGCUAUGGCGCCUGAAGAUGAGCCUGCGUCUGAUUAGCUAGUUGGCGGGGUAACGGCCCACCAAGGCAACGAUCAGUAGCUGGUCUGAGAGGAUGAUCAGCCACACUGGAACUGAGACACGGUCCAGACUCCUACGGGAGGCAGUAGUAAGGAAUAUUGCUCAAUGGGAGAAAUCCUGAAGCAGCAACGCCGCGUGAGGGACGAAGGGCUUUUGCUUGUAAACCUCUGUAGUGAGAGAAAAAAAUCCCAAUCUUUGGGACAUGAUGGUAUCUCAAAAGUAAGCCCCGGCUAACUACGUG